Molecule: ribosomal RNA, 254 nt
Filed under: uncultured bacterium
Lineage: Bacteria
Description: partial 16S ribosomal RNA
Rfam family: Bacterial small subunit ribosomal RNA
Source: RNAcentral
UACGUAGGCAGCGAGCGUUGUUCGGAGUUACUGGGCGUAAAGGGUGUGUAGGCGGUUGUUUAAGUUUGGUGUGAAAUCUCCCCGGCUCAACUGGGAGGGUGCGCCGAAUACUGAAUAACUAGAGUGCGGGAGAGGAGAGUGGAAUUCCUGGUGUAGCGGUGAAAUGCGUAGAUAUCAGGAGGAACACCGGUGGUGUAGACGGCUCUCUGGACCGUAACUGACGCUGAGACACGAAAGCGUGGGUAGCAAACAGG